RNAcentral lists this ribosomal RNA (116 nucleotides) under Candidatus Woesearchaeota archaeon. The record is from RNAcentral. Lineage: Archaea; Nanobdellati; Candidatus Woesearchaeota.
UUAGACGGCCAUAGUGGAUUGGUACACCCGUUCCCAUUUCGAACACGGAAGUUAAGAAGUCCUACGUCGUGGUUAGUACUGUACUUAUGUACGGGAGCAUCAUGAAGCCGUUUCUU